RNAcentral lists this ribosomal RNA (497 nucleotides) under uncultured bacterium. RNAcentral describes it as "partial 16S ribosomal RNA". It matches the Rfam family "Bacterial small subunit ribosomal RNA", at positions 28 to 507 of the family's 1533-position model. The record is from RNAcentral.
GAUGAACGCUGGCGGCGUGCCUAAUACAUGCAAGUCGAGCGAACAGACGAGGAGCUUGCUCCUCUGACGUUAGCGGCGGACGGGUGAGUAACACGUGGAUAACCUACCUAUAAGACUGGGAUAACUUCGGGAAACCGGAGCUAAUACCGGAUAAUAUAUUGAACCGCAUGGUUCAAUAGUGAAAGACGGUUUUGCUGUCACUUAUAGAUGGAUCCGCGCCGCAUUAGCUAGUUGGUAAGGUAACGGCUUACCAAGGCAACGAUGCGUAGCCGACCUGAGAGAGUGAUAGGCCACACUGGAACUGAGACACGGUCAAGACUACUACGGGAGGCAGCAGAAGGGAAUCUUACGCAAUGGGCGAAAGCCUGACGGAGCAACGGCGCGUGAGUGAUGAAGGUCUUCGGAUCGUAAAACUCUGUUAUUAGGGAAGAACAAAUGUGUAAGUAAAUAUGCACGUCUUGACGGUACCUAAUCAGAAAGCCACGGCUAACUACGUG